Molecule: long non-coding RNA, 715 nt
Organism: Benincasa hispida (wax gourd)
Lineage: Eukaryota; Viridiplantae; Streptophyta; Magnoliopsida; Cucurbitales; Cucurbitaceae
Source: RefSeq, a predicted model, not a curated record
CGUCUGCACCUCGUGACCGUCCAGUCGAUUGCUCACUCGCCCUCGCAUCGGUCGUCUCUCCCAGCCGCACCGCACGUCCACCACCGUUGACCAGAGCCGACGACCGCUCGUUUGCUUUGCCGCCUGCUCUGGAGCCAGUCUUCGCGCGUCAUUCUAGUCGCGAGCGUUCGUCGUCCCUCGCGCCCCCUCGCCUGCACGCCACCGUUCUUCGCGUCGAGCAAGGGUUCGAAGGCCAGCCACUUCUGUUUGACGAGCCACUGCCGCAGGUCCCAGGUCAGCCGUAGUUAGUCCGCUCGGCUGGAGUUGCGUCGCGUCGCCGGUUCUGUGCAAGCCCAGUCCGUUUUCACAGCCGUUGUUGUCUUGGUAGUCGGAUUUGGACAGAUUGAUUGGUCGAGGGAAGAUUUAAGUAGUGUUGUUGCAGUUUCUUGAGGAUUUUGGAAUACCUGUGUGGUUUAUUAGGGUAAAAGUAGGGAUGCGUUGGUGAAUGAUAUGCAAAAUCCGUCAUUGAGCCACUGGGACCAGUUUUAUGCUUCCGUUCAUGAUAUUUAGAUUUCUUUCAUGUUUUUCCACUUUCAGUGUUCAUGUUUGAAACUUACUGAUUAGUAUUCAUUUCCAAACUUUUACAGUUUUCUAGACUCAUUAAAUUUUUAAUUAUGAUUUAUGGAUACCCUGCUAUUUGACUUUUAUUUAGUUUUAAUGAAAAUAUUUUAUUUAA